RNAcentral lists this ribosomal RNA (497 nucleotides) under uncultured bacterium. Its description in RNAcentral is "partial 16S ribosomal RNA". It matches the Rfam family "Bacterial small subunit ribosomal RNA", at positions 28 to 507 of the family's 1533-position model. The record is from RNAcentral.
GAUGAACGCUGGCGGCGUGCCUAAUACAUGCAAGUCGAGCGAACGGACGAGAAGCUUGCUUCUCUGAUGUUAGCGGCGGACGGGUGAGUAACACGUGGAUAACCUACCUAUAAGACUGGGAUAACUUCGGGAAACCGGAGCUAAUACCGGAUAAUAUUUUGAACCGCAUGGUUCAAAAGUGAAAGACGGUCUUGCUGUCACUUAUAGAUGGAUCCGCGCUGCAUUAGCUAGUUGGUAAGGUAACGGCUUACCAAGGCAACGAUGCAUAGCCGACCUGAGAGGGUGAACGGCCAAACUGGAACUGAGACACGGUCCAGACUCCUACGGGAGGCAGCAGUAGGGAAUCUUCCGCAAUGGGCGAAAGCCUGACGGAGCAACGCCGCGUGAGUGAUGAAGGUCUUCGGAUCGUAAAACUCUGUUAUUAGGGAAGAACAUAUGUGUAAGUAACUGUGCACAUCUUGACGGUACCUAAUCAGAAAGCCACGGCUAACUACGUG